Molecule: small nucleolar RNA, 107 nt
Organism: Coffea eugenioides
Lineage: Eukaryota; Viridiplantae; Streptophyta; Magnoliopsida; Gentianales; Rubiaceae
Source: RefSeq, a predicted model, not a curated record
UAUUGGUGGUAGGGACAUUGAGAGGAGUAGUAACUUGAAUUGCUCCCAUGCUUCAUGAAUUGGCUCUCCUUCCAUCUGAGAAAAGUACAGAUUUUGUUUCUCAAAUC